GGAGAGUUGGCAGAGUGGUUGAAUGCGGCGGUCUUGAAAACCGUUAAGGAUGUAAGUCCUUCCGGGGUUCGAAUCCCUGACUCUCCGCUA
Molecule: transfer RNA, 90 nt
Filed under: Stygiobacter sp. GWC2_38_9
Lineage: Bacteria; Pseudomonadati; Ignavibacteriota; Ignavibacteria; Ignavibacteriales; Melioribacteraceae
Also listed under: 5 other names
Description: Ignavibacteria bacterium GWC2_38_9 tRNA-Ser
Rfam family: tRNA
About the family: Transfer RNA (tRNA) molecules are approximately 80 nucleotides in length. Their secondary structure includes four short double-helical elements and three loops (D, anti-codon, and T loops).
Source: RNAcentral